UUCAUAAGGAUUACAGAUAUUUGGAAGAUUAUAGAUAUUAUAUUUGGAAGAUUCCUAAGCAUGCAAAAUAAAUACUAAAUAAAAAGGAUAAUUGUUGAUAUUUGAUGGGGCAGGGCAUUUACAAUGACUAUCACUUUCGAUCGUGAAAAACUUCUUUAUUGGAGAACAAAGCUGUCUCGUGCGUGUAACAAAAGUAGCGAUCCAGACAGUUACACUUUUGUACAAUUGCUCAGUCAGGAAUUGCAAUACACACAAAAGAAUGACACUUAAUUAAAGAGCUUACUUGAUAGAGAUUGAGACUUAAACAUAUUACGACUAGCAAUAUUAUACAAAAAUAUGUUCCAUUGAAAUUAGAUACAUAAAAUUCAGACAACCUUGAAAAACAUGAGAAUAUUUCAUUUCACCUUUACUAGAACUAUUUAAAAAAUAGAAAAUAUUGUAUAUAGGUGUCCCAAAUUACCCAUAAUAAAUAUUACAUUUCGACAUACCAGAGAGCACGAAAUUUUCACCUUUUAUUAGCAAAUAUUUAUUAGUUGUUUCAUAUUUAAAAACUAAAUAUAUUAUAACCACAACAUUUUUCUAUUAAAUUUUUUGUUUAGACUGUUCCAUAGAACCUAUAUUUAAAAAUAUUACCAGUGUUUCGGAUCACAAUAUAUGUGUAGCAGAAACGUACUCAAUGGCUAUGCAGUGAAAAUCCACUAUACGAGCUAUCUUCUUAUCGAUGUCCAUAUUGUUUUUCAGAUUAGUUUUGUCGUGAAUAUUUAAUAUCAGCAAUUGAUUCAUACGUAGGCGGUGUGCUCUUGGCACGCCAACAGCUGUAUUACUUAGCAACAGGCACAAACACGCGUAAAGUGGGAAAGGACAACGUACUACUUCCAUCCUUCUCUUAUAUUUUCUUCUUUCCAACAGAAAUAAUAUCAAUUUCUGUAUGCGUACAGGAGCUGUAUACCAUUGAACACUGUAUCUGCAAAAUAAUAAUCAGUCAAUAAGAUGAUUAUUUAAAAUACGUAAUAUAUGAUUGUGUUAUAAACUUAAGACUGUUCCAUAGAACCUAUAUUUAAAAAUAUUACCAGUGUUUCGGAUCACAAUAUAUGUGUAGCAGAAACGCACUCAAAGGCUAUGCAGUGAAAAUCCACUAUACGAGCUAUCUUCUCAUCGAUGUCCAUAUUGUUUUUCAGAUUAGUUUUGUCGUGAAUAUUUAAUAUCAGCAAUUGAUUCAUACGCAGUCACUCCUAUGUAAAGAGAUGCAUACGUGUGCAGCAAAGUCAAAUAAAAAGUCUUUUCUUCAUCAACGAAAUAUUCAGUUUCAAUUAUAUUGUAAAGUGGGUGAGAUUCAUUUGCGAAUAAAAAGGUACCAAGAAUACAAGGCAAUAGUGGCAAAAGAGAAAGAAUAAGUACGCUGCAUGCCGUAAAAGCUGUAAAGAUGUUUUAUAAUAAUUAAUGAAAUAGAUGAAUCACUUAAACUGAUAUUCUUUAUUAUCUCAAAAUAUUGCCUAUACAUAUUAUUUAUAUUUUAGUAAUUUUUCAUUGUUAAAGUAUUCUGUAAUUAUUUCAUCGUUUGACUGCAAAUUUAUUUCAAUUGUACGAUGUCAACAUUGUUAGAGUAAGAAAUAAAUUAUGAAAUCUGUUGAAUAUAAACGUACUUCACAAUUUGUAUUUAUUUUUAUCCUUGUAACUUUAUAUAUAUCUUUUAUCCUCACCUAAACUAACUGGAAAGUUUCUUUACAAAAUGAGAAGCUAUUGAAAA
This is a long non-coding RNA of Ooceraea biroi (clonal raider ant), 1747 nucleotides long. RefSeq lists it as uncharacterized. NCBI's taxonomy places the organism in Eukaryota, Metazoa, Arthropoda, Insecta, Hymenoptera, Formicidae. The record is from RefSeq and is a predicted model, not a curated record.